This is a regulatory RNA element of Daphnia magna, 46 nucleotides long. It matches the Rfam family "Histone 3' UTR stem-loop". Rfam says of the family: The mRNAs of metazoan histone genes lack a poly-A tail. 3' end processing occurs at a site between a highly conserved stem-loop (modelled by this family) and a purine rich region around 20 nts downstream (the histone downstream element, or HDE). The stem-loop is bound by a 31 kDa stem-loop binding protein (SLBP - also termed the histone hairpin binding protein, or HBP). The record is from Rfam. NCBI's taxonomy places the organism in Eukaryota, Metazoa, Arthropoda, Branchiopoda, Diplostraca, Daphniidae.
CAAACGGCCCUUUUCAGGGCCACCAGAUGUUAAAGAAACAAAGAAU